RNAcentral lists this ribosomal RNA (484 nucleotides) under uncultured bacterium. Its description in RNAcentral is "partial 16S ribosomal RNA". It matches the Rfam family "Bacterial small subunit ribosomal RNA", at positions 29 to 507 of the family's 1533-position model. The record is from RNAcentral.
AGUGAACGCUGGCGGCAUGCUUUACACAUGCAAGUCGAACGGCAGCACGGGCAGCGGCCUCUCUUCCGGUUGCGGACGGGUGGAUGAGUGAGCAGAACAUGGGCAUUAAUUUGGUAGAGGGGGACGAAGGCCGGAUUAAUACCGCAUACGACCUUACGGUGUAAGCGUGGGAGCGAAAGGCCUCGCGCCAUUGGACGAGCCGAUGUCGGAUUAGCUAGUUGGUGGGGUAAAGGCGUACCAAGGCGACGAUCCGUAGCUGGUCUGAGAGGAUGACCAGCCACACUGGGACUGAGACACGGUCCAGACUCCUACGGGAGGCAGCAGUGGGGAAUAUUGGACAAUGGGCGCAAGCCUGAUCCAGCCAUGCCGCGUGAGGGAAGAAGGCCUUCGGGUUGUAAAACGCUUUUGUUCGGGAAGAAAUCCUGUGGGUUAAUACCCCGGUGUGAUGACGGUACCGGAAGAAUAAGCACCGGCUAACUACGUG